RNAcentral lists this long non-coding RNA (305 nucleotides) under Sarcophilus harrisii (Tasmanian devil). RNAcentral's name for it is "lncRNA (ENSSHAG00000032092.1)". Lineage: Eukaryota; Metazoa; Chordata; Mammalia; Dasyuromorphia; Dasyuridae. The record is from RNAcentral.
UACACUCGAGUCAAACGGGGCAAGAACACCACCUCUGUGCCCCGGGCACAAGCCGUGCUCCAACCUACACCUCGCCCCGUGCCUGCUCGUGGAAUAUCCCGCUUGCUCCAAGCUUUGGCGCCGCCUGCCAGAGAAAGCCGAGCCGUUUCAGAUUCCCUUAUCGGUGUCCCUGGUGUUUUCCUGCAGGAGAAGGCUAAGCCCCUCGUGGUUCUUGCGUUCCUAAUCUCCAGGCUUUGUUUUUAUGACUCUAUGGUAUAGGAGGAUCAUAAUGGUUUUUUUGCACAUCUCAUUUAAACCAGGAGAGA